RNAcentral lists this unclassified non-coding RNA (748 nucleotides) under uncultured Bordetella sp. RNAcentral describes it as "partial 16S-23S ribosomal RNA intergenic spacer". It matches the Rfam family "Bacterial small subunit ribosomal RNA", at positions 747 to 1499 of the family's 1533-position model. Lineage: Bacteria; Pseudomonadati; Pseudomonadota; Betaproteobacteria; Burkholderiales; Alcaligenaceae. The record is from RNAcentral.
UCAUGCACGAAAGCGUGGGAGCAAACAGGAUUAGAUACCUCUGGUGUCCACGCCCUAAACGAUGUCAACUAGCUGUUGGGGCCUUCUCGGGCCUUGGUAGCGUGGCCACCUUAGUUGACCGCCUGGGGAGAGUACGGUCGCAAGAUUAAAACUCAAAGGAAUUGACGGGGACUCGCACAAAGCGGUGGAUGAUGUGAUUGAAUUCGAUGCAACGCGAAAAACCUUUACCUACCCUUGACAUGUCUGGAAUCCCGAAGAGAUUUUGGGAGUGCUCGCAAGAGAACCGGAACGAUGUGGUGCCGUGCGCUGUCGUCAGCUCGUGUCGAGAUGCUGGGUUAAGUCCUGCAACGAGCGCAACCCUUGUCAUUAUUGCUACGAAAGCGGCACUUAAUGAGACUGCCGGUGACAAACCGGAGGAAGGUGGGGAUGACGUCAAGUCCUCAUGGCCCUUAUGGGUAGGGCUUCACACGUCAUACAAUGGUCGGGACAGAGGGCCGCUAACCCGCAGGGGAGCUAAUCCCAGAAACCCGAUCGUAGUCCGAAUCGCAGUCUGCAACUCGACUGCGUGAAGUCGGAAUCGCUAUACACCGUGGAUCAGUACAUGUCGCGGUGAAUACGUUCCCGGGUCUUGUACACACCGCCCGUCACACCAUGGGGAGUGGGUUUUACCAGAAGUAGUUAGCCUAACCGUAAGGAGGGCGAUUACCACGGUAGGAUUCAUGAUCGGGGUGAAGUCGUAACAAGGUAG